Molecule: long non-coding RNA, 2683 nt
Organism: Micropterus salmoides (largemouth bass)
Lineage: Eukaryota; Metazoa; Chordata; Actinopteri; Centrarchiformes; Centrarchidae
Exons: 2
Source: RefSeq, a predicted model, not a curated record
UAGUGAGAGCAGCUGAUGUUGGGGAGGACAGACAAAUGUGUUGUAAAUUAUUACUGAUGCAGUCAGAAACUCUCCAACCUCUUUGCAACCUGCAGCUUUGGCUUUUUUAUCCAGCGCCCAGCAAAGUAACUUUAAAAAAUAAAAGGACCAAUAUUUCAGUGUAAAAAUGCUCAGCAGGUGAUCAGAAAUGACGUCAUAACAGGAAACCAGAAUAAUCCAGGAGAUCAUUUCCAUGGAUGGAAAGAAUGAGAUCAAUAAGUUAUUGAUUUCCAGUAUUGAUCAAGAAGAAAGCUGAAAGAAACCAAAUGUGUUGAUCACUCAGAACAAAGAAAUGCAGCUUUAAUAGUUUGGAUCAAUGAAAGAUUGAUGCUCAGUUCUCUUCACAUCAUGUUGAAGCCGUUUGGAAAGAAAAGUGGGCUCAGAGUCGGCAGAAGAAAAGGCCAAAUAUUGAUGAAGCAGGAAGAGCAGUUUGGGAUCAGAUCCAGAUCAGAUGUUUGUGUGUCUCGGUGUUCUGGACUGAUGUUGAACAUGUGGAGCUGAGAUUCAUUUACAGAACAGAGAUGAAAACAUUUGAAAGCUUCUUCUCUUCAAAGUUCAGCUUUAGAUCCAGAAAUGUAAAAGUCCAGCAGCUCAACACUGACAGGAGACAUUACUGUGAAGCAGCACAUGGACAAAACAAUCCCAGCAGCAUCAAGACUCUGAUCAUCUCCAACAGCUUCCUGUGUUUCUGUCCCCUGUUAGCUGCUGCUCUCAUCUGCUUCUGUCAAUAAAGUUAUUCAAACUGCUGCUGCUGUCUGUGCAGCUCAUGUUCUGCUUUGUUGUCCUCUCAGUCUGUCAGGUGGAGGUGGAGGAGGGGGCGGAGUCUGUCCUGCUGCCCUGCAAGACCACAGACAACCUGCCUCAGGACGUCAGAGUGGAUCCACUAUGAUCCCUAUAGACGGUCCACGUGUAUCAGAACGGCUCUGACCAACAGGACCAGGUUUACAGAGACCGAACAGAGAUGAAGGAAGACCUGCUGAGAACUGGAGACCUCAGUCUGACCCUGAAAUCCCCCACAGACAGAGACGGAGGACAUACUGGUGCAAGUCUACGACAAGAAGGGAGUCCUCAUGAGAUGGAAAUCAGUUGAUCUCAGGGUCAAAGAGAGAAGCAGGAACAGAAGCAGCUCCGCUGAUCCAACUCCUCUGAUGGCCGAUCAAUCUGUUUGAUCUUUGAUCAUUGAUCCGAUCUGACUCUGGAUCAGAGAGAAAAUGGAGGUGAAGCAGCUGAUGGAGGACGGAUGAAGACAGGAGGACGCUUUGUCAGCUUCUUCACUCUGACUCCUCCUACUGACUCUCACACACAGUCUACACACUCACUAUUGAUUCCUGCUGAUCAGUGAUGUCAGAGUGAGGUCAGCGUGAUGUCACAUGGCUUGAACGGGCGUGUUUCCUGUGAACCUCCCAGCGGCUGGAUAACAGCUGCGGCUCUCUGGAUAUUUGUGGCUCGUUCUAAUGCGUGCAGUCAAACAAACUUUAUUUCUACAGACACAGAGAAGUCAGCAGCUGCAGGAAAUCAGAACCACUGACAGGAAGUUAAGAGUCAAGUUAAACCACAUGUCAGAACUUUCUACAGCAGCAGGAUUUAGAAGAUGCUGGAAGCUGCUGUCUUUAGAUUUUGGACCCGUCACAAUUUGUCACAUUUUCUGAAGCCACAACAAAUCUUGUUGAAAGGAAACAGUUGAUUGAAGGUCCAGUUUCAAACGAAGAGUCAAAGCUUCUCUUUGUGUCGACUCCUUUAAUGAGAACAUUGAAAAGGACUCGAGUCCAAGUCUCAAGUGUCCAGCUCAGAUUAUUCCAGCACCAACCCUGGCAGGAUGCAAGUUAAACAGAAAGCAACACAUUUAGUGACAGAACAGAAAGCAGCCAGCUGUUAAAAUGGACUCAGAGAAUGAAGACACAAUAAGAUUUGAUUCAGUCAGACUUUCACAAGAACAAAGGUUUGUUCAGCCUGAACACAAAUGUGGUCUGUAGUGUUUUUGUAGUCCCUGUUUAUUCAGCGCCUCUUCCUCCUCACUACACACUGGAUCAAAGCACAGCAGUUAAACCCAGAGGCCUCCAGUGGACCUGGUUCAGGCCUCUGAAACAUCUGGACUCUGUGAUCUUUGUCUUCCAGCGUUGACAUUUGGAGCAGGUAUAAACAGACGUCACGUGAUCUAGUUUGUUUGAAGCGUACCGAGUCCUUCAGACGUUGAUCUCAGAACUCAGCAGAAACUCCACUUCUUUAGUCUCUUUCCUCCAGGUUCUGGUUUUUCUCGUCUCUCUGUUCAUUCCUCAAAGAUAAAGCUGGAUUUUUCAUUGAAGCUGAAACAUUUCAGUAAAUAUGCCAGAUUUAGCCAGAAGGCUGUUUUUCAUCUGUAGUCAGUACAAGUCAACACAAAACAGACAACAUAGUAAAACCAACCCAGGGACCAGUAGACUCCAGCACAAUAUACUAGCAGUCAUUAUGUUCCAGUACACAGGUCAUGAACUGUUACCAGAGGAAAUCAGAAGCUUACAGUAAUCUGUUGGACUCAAAGAUGUUAUGUUAUUAAAGUGCUGUUUAUGCACUCAGAUCUAAUUCAAUAAUCUGGUUUCCUGCAGCGGUUUGAAGCCAAAAUAAACAUUUUGCUGUGAUUUCAUUUCAAUAAACUGAUCAAAAUGAU